GAUAAACGCUGGCGGCGUGCAUAACACAUUCAAGUCGAACGGUGACGAGGACUUCGGUCCUCUGAUCAGUGGCGGACGGGUGAGUAACGCGUGAGUAACCUGCCUCAGAGUGGGGGACAACAGUUGGAAACGACUGCUAAUACCGCAUAACGCAGCGAGAUCGCAUGAUCUUGCUGUCAAAGCUUUAUGUGCUGAAAGAUGGCCUCGCGUCUGAUUAGCUAGUUGGUGGGGUAACGGCCCACCAAGGCGACGAUCAGUAGCCGGUCUGAGAGGAUGAACGGCCACAUUGGGACUGAGAUACGGCCCAGACUCCUACGGGAGGCAGCAGUGGGGAAUAUUGGGCAAUGGGGGAAACCCUGACCCAGCAACGCCGCGUGAAGGAAGAAGGCUUUCGGGUUGUAAACUUCUUUAGCAGGGACGAAGGACGUGACGGUACCUGCAGAAAAAGCAAACGGCUAACUACGUGCCAGCAG
RNAcentral lists this ribosomal RNA (473 nucleotides) under uncultured bacterium. RNAcentral describes it as "bacterial SSU rRNA". It matches the Rfam family "Bacterial small subunit ribosomal RNA", at positions 28 to 514 of the family's 1533-position model. The record is from RNAcentral.